Molecule: long non-coding RNA, 833 nt
Organism: Triticum dicoccoides
Lineage: Eukaryota; Viridiplantae; Streptophyta; Magnoliopsida; Poales; Poaceae
Exons: 4
Source: RefSeq, a predicted model, not a curated record
AUGAUUGAAUUAACCAUGCCUUUUUCUUUUGGAUUCAAUUUUUUCUCUAUCCUGUCAUCUCAUAUUGUUGUGCUCACCAUGGAUUGUAUCCUUUCCCUUACCACGUACAAUUUUUGGAUGGCUCAUGUAGAUCAGGUCAGAGUAGACAAAUUAUACCCAUCAGCGCUGGUCAAGAUUCUCCCACUCCAUGCCAACGUUGUUUCUGGUCUGUUGCUAUUAUUGCUCCAUUGGCUAGAUCAAAUAUAUUUCUUGUAUAGUGCAACUACAAUGAGUGGAUUAUUGUUUUUACUCUCUUUUCUCAAAUUAAUAUUGGUGGAUCUGGCAGCAGCUUCCCUCGACACUAACCAAGUGUAUAACUUUUAAAACAGUGGUGUGCGACAUGAAGAUGCAAUAAAACCCAAUUAAUGGAGGAGGUGAUUUGCCAACACAAACAUGUUAUUUCUCUAAGGGCGGCCAGUUGAUUGGUGAGCCCAUAAAUUGCUGUCUAUGGUUGUCUCUAGUUAGCAAAAAUGAUUUCCCCGAGCUAGCAUCAUUGUUGAACAGAGUGCAGUUGGAAACCGAGUUGAAGCAGAACUAUGGAGCAGAGCUAUGCAUGUCAUCAGGUCACCAUGUCGCAAAUAUGUUGCCUAAUGCAUCGGAGGCUCAUUUUAGACUUGGCCAUUUUCUCUCAAAAAAAAAAUUUCAAUCAGACAGUUGUACUACAGAAUUUGCACUGCUUACAAGCAAGGAUUAACCUUCACGUCAGUCCAUGCAUGUUAACUUUGUAAGUUAAUUUAGGUUAAAUUUGUGAUGAAUGCAUGCCCGGUUUAAAGUGAAGACGACUAUUGUCAACA